This 482-nucleotide ribosomal RNA is filed under the name uncultured bacterium. RNAcentral describes it as "partial 16S ribosomal RNA". It matches the Rfam family "Bacterial small subunit ribosomal RNA", at positions 28 to 523 of the family's 1533-position model. The record is from RNAcentral.
GACGAACGCUGGCGGCGUGCUUAACACAUGCAAGUCGAACGAUGAAGCCGGAGCUUGCUCCGGUGGAUUAGUGGCGAACGGGUGAGUAACACGUGAGCAAUCUGCCCUUGACUCUGGAAUAACUGCGGGAAACUGUAGCUAAUACCGGAUACGACACCUUGGGGCAUCCCAGGGUGUGGAAAGAAUUUCGGUCAAGGAUGAGCUCGCGGCCUAUCAGCUAGUUGGUGAGGUAAUGGCUCACCAAGGCGACGACGGUAGCCGGCCUGAGAGGGUGACCGGCCACACUGGAACUGAGACACGGUCCAGACUCCUACGGGAGGCAGCAGUGGGGAAUAUUGCACAAUGGGCGAAAGCCUGAUGCAGCAACGCCGCGUGAGGGAUGAAGGCCUUCGGGUUGUAAACCUCUUUUAGCAGGGAAGAAGCGAAAGUGACGGUACCUGCAGAAAAAGCACCGGCUAACUACGUGCCAGCCGCCGCGGUAA